This is a long non-coding RNA of Leptopilina boulardi, 885 nucleotides long. RefSeq lists it as uncharacterized. The transcript is spliced from 2 exons. NCBI's taxonomy places the organism in Eukaryota, Metazoa, Arthropoda, Insecta, Hymenoptera, Figitidae. The record is from RefSeq and is a predicted model, not a curated record.
UCAAAUUCCUGAGAAUUAUAAGUUAUCAUUUUUAGUUAAUCUAACACAUUCGUAUAUGUUUUUAAACUAAAAACAAUAAUUACUUUUCUGAAUUCUGAUUGCUUUAUUAGUAUUUAAAAAAUUUAAUUAAAGUUCUUUUUUUUGUAUCUACCACUUUGAAUUUUAUAAAAUUGACAUUGAAUUAGUAAUCAAUUUUCAGAAAGUUUUCCACCAUAAUGGAUCCGCCAUUUUGAAUUUCGAAAAUUAGAUAUUAAAUUCGUGAUCAGCGACCCUAAAAACCGCCGAUUAACUAGAAUCAAACAAUUUUAAUAUAUAGAAGAGCAUUCAAAUAGUUGUUUUCUAGAAAAACUUAUUUCGCACGAUAGUUCCCCUCUCAAGUGACCAGGUUACAGAUAAUAAUUGAUAUGACUCAAUUAUCGAUCAGUAUAAAAUCCCUUUGCUUUUGAAGUGUAUACUUAUUAAUGUUUUAACUUUUUCGAUAUCAAUUCUCUAUUGACCUAGCUUGAAGGAAAAAAAAUGGCUGGAUUCAAAUCAAUUGGAUUAUUGUUGAUGCUGAUUGCAACAAUCAUAAUGAUGGUAGCUCCAUCUGCAAUGGCGGCUUGCCUUAAAAAUGGCAGAAAAUGUAAAGCUAAUGGAAAAUGGGGUAACUGUUGUUCUGGAUAUUGUCAUCAACUAAUAGGCAAAUCAAGUGGAAUAUGCCGAAGACGUUAAUGAUAUUUUUUUGAUACAUUUGACACAAAUGAUCAAUAAUAAUUAAUUUAGAAGACGUGAUAAUAAUUACCACUCCUAUUGAUUUUAAAAACAUUUAAAAUUGGCAUAUAAUCUUUAAUAUAUUAUGUAUUUUUUUAGCCAAUAAAAAAUUUCAUUAAAAAUUUGUAAAAUAAA